GACGAACGCUGGCGGCGUGCUUAACACAUGCAAGUCGAACGGAAAGGCCCUGCUUUUGUGGGGUGCUCGAGUGGCGAACGGGUGAGUAACACGUGAGUAACCUGCCCUUGACUUUGGGAUAACUUCAGGAAACUGGGGCUAAUACCGGAUAGGAGCUCCUGCUGCAUGGUGGGGGUUGGAAAGUUUCGGCGGUUGGGGAUGGACUCGCGGCUUAUCAGCUUGUUGGUGGGGUAGUGGCUUACCAAGGCUUUGACGGGUAGCCGGCCUGAGAGGGUGACCGGCCACAUUGGGACUGGGAUACGGCCCAGACUCCUACGGGGGGCAGCGGUGGGGAAUAUUGCACAAUGGGCGGAAGCCUGAUGCAGCACCGCCGCGGGGGGGAGGACGGCCUUGGGGUUGUAAACCGCUUUCCCCUGGAACGAAGCGGGGGUGACGGUAAUGGGUAAAGAAGCCCCGGCUAACUACGU
This 467-nucleotide ribosomal RNA is filed under the name uncultured bacterium. Its description in RNAcentral is "partial 16S ribosomal RNA". It matches the Rfam family "Bacterial small subunit ribosomal RNA", at positions 28 to 506 of the family's 1533-position model. The record is from RNAcentral.